RNAcentral lists this microRNA precursor (128 nucleotides) under Myotis davidii. RNAcentral's name for it is "mir-9193 microRNA precursor family". It matches the Rfam family "mir-9193 microRNA precursor family". Lineage: Eukaryota; Metazoa; Chordata; Mammalia; Chiroptera; Vespertilionidae. The record is from Rfam by way of RNAcentral.
CGUGCACCAGUGGGGUCCCUUGGCCUGGCUUGUGCCCUCUCACAAUCCGGGACCCCUCUGGGGAAUGUCUAGAGAGCCAGUUCGGCUUGAUCCCCGCAGGCCAGGCCAAGGGACCCCACUGGUGCACA